Molecule: ribosomal RNA, 494 nt
Filed under: uncultured bacterium
Lineage: Bacteria
Description: partial 16S ribosomal RNA
Rfam family: Bacterial small subunit ribosomal RNA
Source: RNAcentral
GGGGGGGGGGGGGGGGGGGGUGGGGGGGUGCGGGUCGGGCGGGGGGGGGCCUUGCUGGGUGGGGGGUGGGGAGGGGGGGCGACCGGGUGAGUGACGCGUGCGUCACCUGCCCCCUUCUUCUGGAUAGCCGCAUGACAGUGUGGCUAAUCCGUGAUCUUCUGGGUCUGUCGCAUGAUGGGUCUGGGACAGCUAUUGUUUCGGUUGGGGAUGGGCUCGCGGCCUGUCAGCUUGUUGGGGGGUUGAUUGACUACCCCGGCGGUGACGGGUAGCCGUCCUGAGAGGUUGGACGGUCACAGUGGGACUGAGACACGGCCCAGACUCCUACGGGAGGCAGCAGGGGGGAAUAUUGCACAAGGGGCGCAAGCCUGAUGCAGCGACGCCGCGGGAGGGAUGGAGGCCGGCGGGUUGUGAACCUCUUUCGCCAGUGAAGCAGGGCUGCCUCGUUUGUGGGUGGGUUGACGGUAGCUGGAUAAGAAGCGCCGGCUAACUACGUG